Molecule: ribosomal RNA, 449 nt
Filed under: uncultured bacterium
Lineage: Bacteria
Description: partial 16S ribosomal RNA
Rfam family: Bacterial small subunit ribosomal RNA
Source: RNAcentral
UCCAGACUCCUACGGGAGGCAGCAGUGGGGGAUAUUGCACAAUGGGGGGAACCCUGAUGCAGCGACGCCGCGUGGGUGAAGGAGCGUUUCGGCGCGUAAAGCCCUAUCGGCAGGGAAGAAGGAGGACGGUACCUGACUAAGAAGCCCCGGCUAACUACGUGCCAGCAGCCGCGGUAAUACGUAGGGGGCAAGCGUUAUCCGGAUUUACUGGGUGUAAAGGGAGCGUAGACGGCCAGACAAGUCAGAAGUGAAAGCCCAGGGCUCAACCCUGGGACUGCUUUUGAAACUGCCGGGCUGGAGUGCAGGAGAGGUAAGCGGAAUUCCUAGUGUAGCGGUGAAAUGCGUAGAUAUUAGGAGGAACACCAGUGGCGAAGGCGGCUUACUGGACUGUAACUGACGUUGAGGCUCGAAAGCGUGGGGAGCAAACAGGAUUAGAUACCCCCGUACUA